GAUGAACGCUGGCGGCGUGCCUAAUACAUGCAAGUAGAACGCUGAAGGAGGAGCUUGCUCUUCUGGAUGAGUUGCGAACGGGUGAGUAACGCGUAGGUAACCUGCCUGGUAGCGGGGGAUAACUAUUGGAAACGAUAGCUAAUACCGCAUGACAACAGUUAUUGCAUGAUAACUGUUUAAAAGGGGCAACUGCUCCACUACCAGAUGGACCUGCGUUGUAUUAGCUAGUUGGUGAGGUAACGGCUCACCAAGGCGACGAUACAUAGCCGACCUGAGAGGGUGAUCGGCCAAACUGGGAAUGAGACACGGCCCAGACUCCUACGGGAGGCAGCAGUAGGGAAUCUUCGGCAAUGGACGGAAGUCUGACCGGGCAACGCCGCGUGAGUGAAGAAGGUUUUCGGAUCGUAAAGCUCUGUUGUAAGAGAAGAACGAGUGUGAGAGUGGAAAGUUCACACUGUGACGGUAUCUUACCAGAAAGGGACGGCUAACUACGUG
Molecule: ribosomal RNA, 495 nt
Filed under: uncultured bacterium
Lineage: Bacteria
Description: partial 16S ribosomal RNA
Rfam family: Bacterial small subunit ribosomal RNA
Source: RNAcentral